RNAcentral lists this long non-coding RNA (1181 nucleotides) under Marmota monax (woodchuck). The record is from RNAcentral. Lineage: Eukaryota; Metazoa; Chordata; Mammalia; Rodentia; Sciuridae.
CUUCUUUAUACCAUAUUCUUUUAGCAUUGGUAUUUCAGGGUCUUUUCUGUUUGGCCAUGGGCUGAAAUAGGGCUUGGUUUGAUACAUAUAAAGUUAGCUGUCUUUAGAGAGCAGAAUCCUAGACAGUGGACCAAGUAGUUUUUUGGUUUGUUUUUUUUUUUUUUUGAUCUUUUUAGAGUGACAAUUAUUUCAGUAAAGGUAAGCAUGUGGAAAUUCCAGUGCAUUUGUUGUGAGAAGUCUUAUUUGGCUUCAUUGGCAUUAACAGCAAUUGAAAAUGCAAAUAAUUGACUUUUUUUUGCAGUACAGUGAAUUGAACCAAGGGGUGCUCUACUACUGAGCUACAGUGGCCAGUCUGGUCUCAAAUUUGUAAUCCUCCUGCCUCAGCCUCCUGAGUAGCUGGAAUUAUAGGGUGUGUGCUACUGAUCCAAAUGAUUUUUUUUUUUUUUGGUACCAGAUAUUGAACCUAGGGGCACUUAACCACUGAGUCACAUCCCCAGCCCUUUUUAUUUUUUAUUUUAGUAUCAGGGAUUGAACCCAGGGGUGAGGCUUAACCACCAGUGCACAUCCCCGACUGUUUUUCUGUGUUUUAAUUUUGGGGGGGGUACCGGGGAUUGAACUUGGGGGCACUCAAACACUGAGCCACAUCCCCAGCCCUAUUUUUGUAUUUUAUUUAGAGACAGGGUCUCACUGAGUUAGUUGUUAGUACCUUGCUAAAUGGCUGAGGCUGGUUUGAGCUCGUGAACCUCCUGUGCUGCUGGAAUUACAGGCAUACACCACCAAGCCCAGCCAAAUGAUUGGCUUCUUAAGGCUUCCUGAGUCAUUUAAGUGUUUAGCAUCCAGGUUCCAAGAGGAUUUUACGUAGAGAGGGUGAAUAUUUUCAUAAAUUUGAACUCUUGAAACAUUGGUAUAGGAUUUUGAAAUCCUUCUAAGUAUUAAAAUGUAGAAAUUUAUUUUUAAGUCAUUUUAGGAAAGUGGUAGUGUGCUUUACCACUAAAUUAUGUCCCCAGCCCUUUUCUUAUUUUAUUUUGAAAUAAUGUCUCACUAAGUUACCCAGGCUGAGCUUGAACUUGUGAUCUUCCUGCCUCAACCUACUGAGUAGAUGGGAUUAUCUGUGUGUGCUUUUCUUAUUUGAUACAUAUGAGUUGUUCUGGCAUUCAGAUCUAAUUUUACAGAGAUAAUUG